CUCCUCCACACGGCAUCCUGCCCAUCCGAGACACCAACAGCUCAUUCCUACUGCAGUGGAAGGAGCCCAAAAAAACAGAGGGCAUUGUGGGAGACUAUCUGUACUGCAGUGAGGUUGGAAGUGGACAGUGGAAGACCAAAACAAUAAGCCCAUCACUAAAACCAGGUGACUGAACUUCAGUAAGGAAGUUUUUACCAGUUCAGAGUCUUCGCAGCCAGUAUUGUUAAACUGAGCUGUUUCUGGAUGAUGCCUGAGCCUGUUUAGAGAAGUGAGGCGGAACUCUCUGGUGCUGCUGUGGGCGGAGCCUCUGUAGAAGGGCCAAUCAGAGAUCAGCAGAGACCAGAGAAUUGAUCUGGAGGAGCGGACGAAGCCGGGCAGCAGCAUACAGAAGGUUUGGAUUGAGAUAUUCAGCCCCACAGAAAACAAUAAAGGGAAGUACACCCUGGAGAUGUUCGACGGCCAGGAAACACACAAGCGCUCUCUGGAUCUGUCUGGACAAGCAUUCGCAGAUGCUUUGCUGGAACACCAGAGACUGAAGUAAGUCAAGAUUAAAAUUUGACCUCUGACCCGCUGAACUCUAACCUCUUUGGUUACUGUUGCUAACUUACAAAACCUUACCUUACAAAAGAUUCUAUAGAAAUGAAUAGA
Molecule: long non-coding RNA, 648 nt
Organism: Cyprinus carpio (common carp)
Lineage: Eukaryota; Metazoa; Chordata; Actinopteri; Cypriniformes; Cyprinidae
Exons: 5
Source: RefSeq, a predicted model, not a curated record